Molecule: transfer-messenger RNA, 353 nt
Filed under: Clostridium omnivorum
Lineage: Bacteria; Bacillati; Bacillota; Clostridia; Eubacteriales; Clostridiaceae
Rfam family: transfer-messenger RNA
About the family: Bacterial tmRNA, also known as 10Sa RNA or SsrA, is named for its dual tRNA and mRNA-like properties. Its role is to liberate the mRNA from a stalled ribosome.
Source: RNAcentral
GGGGGCGUAUUUGGCUUCGACGGGGGUAAGGCGUAUCUGAGAAGCGAGUCGAGGGAACCUGUGGGCCCGCGUUAAAAAACUAUAGGAUUAAAUAUAAUCGAAAACGAUAAUUUAGCUUUAGCAGCUUAGUCUGCUACGUCAGCCCGGGAGUACCGCGAACCGGAACCUGGCGUCGAUAGCGGUGAAACGAGCCUGAGUAAGCUUUGCCUCAGGAACGGAAUUUAUGAAGCUACUAAAACCAAAAGCCUGUCCUUAGGCGUUUGGUAGAGGGAAUGUUAAACUAAGGAAUGCACUCGGAGAUGCUCAGGUAUUACUGCUUUCGGACAGGGGUUCGACACCCCUCGCCUCCACCA